GAUAUACAAGUUGUGACACUGGUCCAAGUAGUUAUAAACUUUUGAACACAUCUCAAGGGACUUGAUAGGUAAAGGUCAGGCAUGGUAGAGCAAUUGCCAGCAGGAGAAACCAAGGUGAGAUCAGAUUCCAGGGCCAAAGCUGUUUGCUUCAUACUCAUUUUUUUCAUACUUCCUGUUCAUCUGAGUGCCAGGAUCACAGGUGUGUGCUUCACUCCACGGAGAACUCCACGGGGGGUAGUAAACAUCCCCAUUCUGUUUACUACCAUGGAAGGCAUAGCCUGAAUAGAGGAAGGAAAAGCAUGUGGAAGCUGGAUAGAGUGAAAGAACUUGUGCUUUGGGGCGAGAGAGUCUGUGUCCCAUCCUGGAUCAUUCCCUGACCACAUGGCCUUAGGUGUCCAUGUGUUUGGGGCAAAAAUGAGCCACUGCUAACAAUUGUAAAGAAAGAGAGAACAGCUGUUUGCAUCUGGAUAUGGGGUAAGAAAGAACAGCUGCUGGCAGCGGUGGCAGACAAGAAAGUGAGCAAAUGAGCAGCUGUUGGUAAUUCAGAAUCUCAUCAGCCACACAGAAUAAUUGAAAUCCAGAACCAUGCAGGGCUCGACUUAACAGCUUUAUUGCAUCCUGCUGUUCAUUAGAUCCUGCCUGUCCUCCAUUAGAGAUUCCUGUGAUAGCUACAUGAGGACUCUCAACAGGAAUAUCCACCCCGACAUCCCCAUCCACAACCCUUUGAAGAAGCAACCCAAGAGAGGUAAAAAGGCACAGACUUUUCUUCCAGUAAGUCCAUACCUAUUUUUACACAAAGGAAGACAAGGGAAGGGAUAUUAACACACAUGGGAAUGAUCACAAGAUUGGCCAAAAAUAAUUAUUUCUGUAUUAUAAGAAAUUAUAGCCAUUUUAAUGAUGAACUCACAUUUCAGAAUUCCAGCA
Homo sapiens (human) is the source of this 924-nucleotide long non-coding RNA. RefSeq lists it as uncharacterized. The transcript is spliced from 3 exons. NCBI's taxonomy places the organism in Eukaryota, Metazoa, Chordata, Mammalia, Primates, Hominidae. The record is from RefSeq and is a predicted model, not a curated record.